RNAcentral lists this ribosomal RNA (615 nucleotides) under Aphaenops ludovici. Its description in RNAcentral is "SSU rRNA". It matches the Rfam family "Eukaryotic small subunit ribosomal RNA", at positions 20 to 603 of the family's 1831-position model. Lineage: Eukaryota; Metazoa; Arthropoda; Insecta; Coleoptera; Carabidae. RNAcentral also lists the same sequence under 1 other name. The record is from RNAcentral.
GUAGUCAUAUGCUUGUCUCAAAGAUUAAGCCAUGCAUGUCUCAGUACAAGCCAUAUUAAGGUGAAACCGCGAAAGGCUCAUUAAAUCAGUUAUGGUUCCUUAGAUCGUACACACAUUUACUUGGAUAACUGUGGUAAUUCUAGAGCUAAUACAUGCAAACAGAGCUCCGACCGGAGACGGAAGGAGUGCUUUUAUUAGAUCAAGACCAAUCGGCGGCAAUAUGGUUACGGCUUUGUUGUUCGUCGCACUUUUUGGUGACUCUGAAUAACUUUUGGCUGAUCGCACGGUCUAGCACCGGCGACGCAUCUUUCAAAUGUCUGCCUUAUCAACUGUCGAUGGUAGGUUCUGCGCCUACCAUGGUUGUAACGGGUAACGGGGAAUUAGGGUUCGAUUCCGGAGAGGGAGCCUGAGAAACGGCUACCACAUCCAAGGAAGGCAGCAGGCGCGCAAAUUACCCACUCCCGGCACGGGGAGGUAGUGACGAAAAAUAACGAUACGGGACUCAUCCGAGGCCCCGUAAUCGGAAUGAGUACACUUUAAAUCCUUUAACAAGGACCAAUUGGAGGGUAAGUCUGGUGCCAGCAGCCGCGGUAAUUCCAGCUCCAAUAGCGUAUA